Molecule: ribosomal RNA, 571 nt
Filed under: Dujonia railenensis
Lineage: Eukaryota; Fungi; Ascomycota; Pichiomycetes; Serinales; Debaryomycetaceae
Description: eukaryotic LSU rRNA
Rfam family: Eukaryotic large subunit ribosomal RNA
Source: RNAcentral
AAUAAGCGGAGGAAAAGAAACCAACAGGGAUUGCCUUAGUAACGGCGAGUGAAGCGGCAAAAGCUCAAAUUUGAAAUCUAGCACUUUCAGUGUUCGAGUUGUAAUUUGAAGAAGGUAACUUUGGAAUUGGCUCUUGUCUAUGUUCCUUGGAACAGGACGUCACAGAGGGUGAGAAUCCCGUGCGAUGAGAUGUCCAAUUCUAUGUAAAGUGCUUUCGAAGAGUCGAGUUGUUUGGGAAUGCAGCUCUAAGUGGGUGGUAAAUUCCAUCUAAAGCUAAAUAUUGGCGAGAGACCGAUAGCGAACAAGUACAGUGAUGGAAAGAUGAAAAGAACUUUGAAAAGAGAGUGAAAAAGUACGUGAAAUUGUUGAAAGGGAAGGGCUUGAGAUCAGACUUGGUAUUUUGUGUUCCUUAUCCUUCUUGGAUUAGGUUCCUCACAGCUUACCGGGCCAGCAUCGGUUUGGGUGGCAGGAUAAUGACAUUGGAAUGUAGCUUUGCUUCGGUGAAGUGUUAUAGACUUUGUUGAUACUGCCUAUCUAGACCGAGGACUGCGUCUUUGACUAGGAUGCUGGC